CUUUACACUCGUAGUAACCCAGCUAUGGUGCAUCUCGGCAUCCUCUCUCCUGAAGCAAUUGCAACCUCACCGACCAUGCCGAGGGAGGCGGGGCCUGCAUUGCCAGCUCAUCAAUGAAUCAGCAUGUAAGCAGGCGAAAUUGAGGUAAAGCCUAGAAAUACUUAUGGUCACAGUCGUCUUCUGGAUCCCCAGAGGAGGAAUCUUUCUGCAAAGAGAAUCAGGCCACACUGACUUCUGGCAAGCCACAGCUGCCUCCAAAGCCAGGAGAACCUCUGUAAUAUCUGCUUCUAAGAGACACGGAGAGCUGAUGAAUGCUAAGACCGCACUUUUAUUUCUCACCACUGACCCAGGAACUGAUGUGAUGACAGCUAGAUAUUUAAUACAACUACCAGUGAAGUCAAGAAACAAAAUCUCAGAUGCCUGUGAAAUUAACUACACAGGGUAUGUUGGAUGCCUCUCUCUUCCUGUCCUGUGAAGCCUAGGAUGCAUCCCCAGUGUAGAACCCAAACCUGCCAUGAUUUGUAUCCUCAGGGAAAAGUCUGGACUGCCAGCAGUUACCUCCGGAUGUUUUCCUUCCCAUUUGGUAUGUGGUUUCUAAUGUAUGCUGUGGAGAAUCCUGACCCAUUCUUGAAUCCAUUCCAUGAAUUUUUAAAAUUAUAUUUGGC
This is a non-coding RNA of Peromyscus maniculatus bairdii (prairie deer mouse), 665 nucleotides long. The record is from RefSeq and is a predicted model, not a curated record. NCBI's taxonomy places the organism in Eukaryota, Metazoa, Chordata, Mammalia, Rodentia, Cricetidae.